Molecule: ribosomal RNA, 480 nt
Filed under: uncultured bacterium
Lineage: Bacteria
Description: partial 16S ribosomal RNA
Rfam family: Bacterial small subunit ribosomal RNA
Source: RNAcentral
GACGAACGCUGGCGGCGUGCUUAACACAUGCAAGUCGAGCGAUGAAGUUUUUUCGGAAAUGGAUUAGCGGCGAACGGGUGAGGAACACGUGAAGAAUCUGCCCUCCACUUUGGGAUAACACAGGGAAACCUGUGCUAAUACCGAAUAUUGAAACAUAAGUGGCAUCACUGAGUUUUGAAAGAAUUUCGGUGGAGGAUGACUUCGCGGCCUAUCAGCUAGUUGGUGAGGUAAUGGCUCACCAAGGCAACGACGGGUAGCCGGCCGGAGAGGGCGACCGGCCACACUGGGACGGAGACACGGCCAAGACUCCUACGGGAGGCAGCAGUGGGGAAUAUUGGGCAAUGGAGGAAACUCUGACCAGCGACGCCGCGUGCGGGAUGAAGGCCUUCGGGUUGUAAACCGCUUUCAGUAGGGAAGAAGCGAAAGUGACGGUACCUACGAAAGAAGCACCGGCUAACUAUGUGCCAGCCGCCGCCGUAA